GUGCACCAGUCGCGAAUCCUCCGCAAUGCGCGAAAGCGCGACGGGGCCACCCCGAGUGCCGCCCGCUGAGGGCGGCUUUUCCCCGGUGUAGACAGCCGGGGGAAUAAGGGGAGGGCAAGUCUGGUGUCAGCCGCCGCGGUAAUACCAGCUCCCCGAGUGGUGGGGACGAUUAUUGGGCCUAAAGCGUCCGUAGCCGGCCCGGCAAGUCUCCCGUUAAAAUCCAGCGAUCUAAUCGCUGGACUGCGGGAGAUACUGUCGGGCUAGGGGGGCGGGAGAGGCCGGCGGUAUUCCCGGGGUAGGGGUGAAAGUCCUAUAAUCCCGGGAGGACCACCAGUGGCGAAGGCUGCCGGCUGGAACGCGCCCGACGGUGAGGGACGAAAGCCGGGGGAGCGAACCGGA
RNAcentral lists this ribosomal RNA (399 nucleotides) under uncultured microorganism. RNAcentral describes it as "bacterial SSU rRNA". It matches the Rfam family "Archaeal small subunit ribosomal RNA", at positions 330 to 728 of the family's 1478-position model. The record is from RNAcentral.